CAUGAACCUCCUUGACCUUUUUUGCUUCCAUUUUCCCAAUGUUAAAAACAAAAACUAGAGCCUGUUAUGCUCGAGUGAAUAAAAGAAUCAAAACGAAUGAAAGGAUUAGACCAUACCUAUGCAACAUGUCUCCAUGUGCUC
Molecule: non-coding RNA, 141 nt
Organism: Caenorhabditis elegans
Lineage: Eukaryota; Metazoa; Nematoda; Chromadorea; Rhabditida; Rhabditidae
Source: Ensembl